This is a transfer RNA of 72 nucleotides. It matches the Rfam family "tRNA". From Rfam's summary of the family: Transfer RNA (tRNA) molecules are approximately 80 nucleotides in length. Their secondary structure includes four short double-helical elements and three loops (D, anti-codon, and T loops). Further hydrogen bonds mediate the characteristic L-shaped molecular structure. tRNAs have two regions of fundamental functional importance: the anti-codon, which is responsible for specific mRNA codon recognition, and the 3' end, to which the tRNAs corresponding amino acid is attached (by aminoacyl-tRNA synthetases). tRNAs cope with the degeneracy of the genetic code in two manners: having more than one tRNA (with a specific anti-codon) for a particular amino acid; and 'wobble' base-pairing, i.e. permitting non-standard base-pairing at the 3rd anti-codon position. The record is from Rfam.
AACGGUGGAGCUCAACUGGAAGAGCGCAAGGCUUCGGUCUUGAAGAUGUCUGUUCAAACCGGGCCACCAUUA